Molecule: small nuclear RNA, 103 nt
Organism: Salvia splendens (bonfire salvia)
Lineage: Eukaryota; Viridiplantae; Streptophyta; Magnoliopsida; Lamiales; Lamiaceae
Source: RefSeq, a predicted model, not a curated record
GUCCCUUUGGGGACAUUUAAUAAAAUUGGAAUGAUACAGAGAAGAUUAGCAUGACCCCUCAUCAAGGAUGACAUGAAUAAAUCAACUUAAGGACAAGAAAAUA